Long non-coding RNA from Passer domesticus (house sparrow), 1317 nucleotides. RefSeq lists it as uncharacterized. The transcript has 3 exons. NCBI's taxonomy places the organism in Eukaryota, Metazoa, Chordata, Aves, Passeriformes, Passeridae. The record is from RefSeq and is a predicted model, not a curated record.
CUGUCAUUUUAGGCAUCUCCAUGUCCACCUGCCUUGACUUUGCUUUGGUCUGUGUGGAACUGCAGAAUGUUACAAAAUGGCAUUUGCAAAAAGAACAAGUAAACACAGGCUUAAUGAACUCACUUAUUUUGCUUCCUUUACUUAUGACUCAUAAAAUGAAAAUCCUUUAAUGUUGUAACACAAAUAAAUUGCCAUGUUGGUUGCCUCUCGACUGUACUGCAAGUAGGGAACAAGAAGGGCUGAGAGUGAGGGAUCAGGAAAAGGUGAGGAUGUGCUCAGCUCUCAUUAAGUAACAUUAUCCUGCUUCUUUUGGUUUUGAAAGGUGGAAAAGCAAGAGGUGAUGUCUAAUGCUCCCGGGCAGCAAACAAUGGGUGGGGAACGCUGAGCUGGGUGCAGCACUUGGCAAUCUUUGGGGUGCAGUGAUGAGGUGCCAGUGCUUGAUGGUAUGGAUAGAAGGGAACACGCCUCAGCCUUGUGACACGUGGGGUUAAUGGGGCAGAGCCACACCAUGUCCCUCUGAGGGGACCUGGGUGGCACUGCCACACCAGUGCCACAUCCCAGCUCUGGGCAGGAGAGGUUCCCUUCCUGGGCCAUCCAAUCCCUCAGCUGUUACAGCUCCUCAUAACCCACAUUUUGUGAACAACCACAACUCCCACAGUGAUGUCCAUUUCAGCCCAUUCCACACAGAAGCGGAAAAAUUUCUUCCUGAGAAGGAAUUAAUGCAAGAGAAGUGGAGAUCAGUAAAUGACUACAAUAAAAAUACCCUUCAGCUUUCCUUUUUAUUCUUCCAUAUUUUUCCAGCAGCUGCUUAAAAACUGGUAUUCAGCAAUAAAAUGACCUGAUAACAUUUAGGUCUUUGAGACAUAGAUAUUUUAUUUACUGAAAAAGUGUUACUAAACCACUUUACAAAAACAUUCACCAGGCUUUGCAGCACUUCCAGGAAAAUACAUACAAUUCCUCUUCUCUUUAUGCAAUCAUUGUUUGCUCCUGUUCAAGCUGACAGAUGGUAUGAAAAUUUUGCACUUGACAUCCAUAAUUGUCUUUCCCACAGGCGUGUGCUCAUCGAUGAUGUGCUCAUUGCAUCACCUCCUGACUUGGAACAUUUUUUUAAAAAGCUGUUUCACAUAUGAAAUCCUGGGAAAGACCUGUCUAAAGCACUGUGUCCAAGGAUGAAAAAUAAAUGAAAGCUCCAGUGGUGCCGUUACCCAGCAGAGCUGAUGGAUUGCACUCUCCUGUGGCUGCUUUCAGCUGCUGUGUCUCGUGAACCAUGCUGCUAAUUUCACAUCUCAGUUACUGCAAAAAUGCUAAAUAAAGGUU